Molecule: ribosomal RNA, 365 nt
Filed under: uncultured Clostridium sp.
Lineage: Bacteria; Bacillati; Bacillota; Clostridia; Eubacteriales; Clostridiaceae
Description: bacterial SSU rRNA
Rfam family: Bacterial small subunit ribosomal RNA
Source: RNAcentral
UUCGGGACACGGGGAGACAGGUGGUGCAUGGUUGUCGUCAGCUCGUGUCGUGAGAUGUUGGGUUAAGUCCCGCAACGAGCGCAACCCUUAUCCUUAGUAGCCAGCACGUCAUGGUGGGCACUCUAGGGAGACUGCCAGGGAUAACCUGGAGGAAGGUGGGGAUGACGUCAAAUCAUCAUGCCCCUUAUGAUUUGGGCUACACACGUGCUACAAUGGCGUAAACAAAGGGAGGCGACCCUGCGAAGGUAAGCAAAUCCCAAAAAUAACGUCCCAGUUCGGACUGUAGUCUGCAACCCGACUACACGAAGCUGGAAUCGCUAGUAAUCGCGGAUCAAAAUGCCGCGGUGAAUACGUUCCCGGGUCUG